GUGGGGAAUCUUCCGCAAUGGACGAAAGUCUGACGGAGCAACGCCGCGUGAGUGAUGAAGGUCUUCGGAUUGUAAAGCUCUGUUAAUCGGGACGAAAGAGCCUAGUGUGAAUAAUGCUAGGAAGUGACGGUACCGGAAUAGAAAGCCACGGCUAACUACGUGCCAGCAGCCGCGGUAAUACGUAGGUGGCAAGCGUUGUCCGGAAUUAUUGGGCGUAAAGCGCGCGCAGGCGGAUCUGCCAGUCUGUCUUAAAAGUUCGGGGCUUAACACCGUGAUGGGAUGGAAACUACAGAUCUAGAGUAUCGGAGAGGAAAGUGGAAUUCCUAGUGUAGCGGUGAAAUGCGUAGAUAUUAGGAAGAACACCAGUGGCGAAGGCGACUUUCUGGACGAAAACUGACGCUGAGGCGCGAAAGCCAGGGGAGCGAACGGGAUUAGAAACCCGGGUAGUCC
Molecule: ribosomal RNA, 450 nt
Filed under: uncultured bacterium
Lineage: Bacteria
Description: partial 16S ribosomal RNA
Rfam family: Bacterial small subunit ribosomal RNA
Source: RNAcentral